Molecule: ribosomal RNA, 125 nt
Organism: Exophiala dermatitidis
Lineage: Eukaryota; Fungi; Ascomycota; Eurotiomycetes; Chaetothyriales; Herpotrichiellaceae
Source: Rfam
GCAAUCGACCAUAGGAUUUUAUUGAGAAAACAGCACUUCCCGUCCGCUCAGUGGUACUUAAGCUCAAUGCCGGUCAGCUAGUAGCAACGUGGGUGACCAGUUGCGAAUCCUGACUGUCGAUUGUU